AGUGAACGCUGGCGGCAGGCCUAACACAUGCAAGUCGAACGGCAGCACAGUAAGCGCUUGCUCUUACGGGUGGUGACUGGCGGAUGGGUGAGGCAUACAUCGUAUUCUACUUUUUCUUGGGUGAUCACGUAGGGAAACUUACGCUAAUACCGCAUACGCCCUACGGGUGACACCCGGCGAUCUUCGGACUUCGCUUGAUUCUAUGAGCGCAUGUCGUAUUCGCUAGUUGGCGGGGUCAAGGCCCACCAAGGCGGCGAUCUGUCGCUGGUCUGAGAGUAUGAUCAGCCACCCGGGAAGUGAGACACGGUCCAGACUCCUAAGGGAGGCAGCAGUGGGGAAUAUUGGACAAUGGGCGGAAGCCUGAUCCAGCCAUACCGAGUGGGUGAAGAAGGCCUUCGGGUUGUAAAGACCUUUUGGUGGGAAAGAAAAGCAGUAAGUUAAGAACCAGCUGUUGUGACGGUACCAAAAGAAUAAGCACCGGCUAACUUCGUG
Molecule: ribosomal RNA, 492 nt
Filed under: uncultured bacterium
Lineage: Bacteria
Description: partial 16S ribosomal RNA
Rfam family: Bacterial small subunit ribosomal RNA
Source: RNAcentral